Molecule: transfer RNA, 73 nt
Filed under: Perkinsus olseni
Lineage: Eukaryota; Perkinsozoa; Perkinsida; Perkinsidae
Rfam family: tRNA
About the family: Transfer RNA (tRNA) molecules are approximately 80 nucleotides in length. Their secondary structure includes four short double-helical elements and three loops (D, anti-codon, and T loops). Further hydrogen bonds mediate the characteristic L-shaped molecular structure. tRNAs have two regions of fundamental functional importance: the anti-codon, which is responsible for specific mRNA codon recognition, and the 3' end, to which the tRNAs corresponding amino acid is attached (by aminoacyl-tRNA synthetases). tRNAs cope with the degeneracy of the genetic code in two manners: having more than one tRNA (with a specific anti-codon) for a particular amino acid; and 'wobble' base-pairing, i.e. permitting non-standard base-pairing at the 3rd anti-codon position.
Source: Rfam by way of RNAcentral
GGUCUCGUGGCCUAACGGGUAAGGCGUUGGUCUUCGGAACCAAAGACCGUUGGUACGAGUCCCACCGAGAUCG